This 578-nucleotide ribosomal RNA is filed under the name bacterium enrichment culture. Its description in RNAcentral is "bacterial SSU rRNA". It matches the Rfam family "Bacterial small subunit ribosomal RNA", at positions 22 to 595 of the family's 1533-position model. The record is from RNAcentral.
GCUCAGAUUGAACGCUGGCGGCAUGCCUUACACAUGCAAGUCGAACGGCAGCGCGGGAGCAAUCCUGGCGGCGAGUGGCGAACGGGUGAGUAAUACAUCGGAACGUGCCCAAUCGUGGGGGAUAACGCAGCGAAAGCUGUGCUAAUACCGCAUACGAUCUACGGAUGAAAGCAGGGGAUCGCAAGACCUUGCGCGAAUGGAGCGGCCGAUGGCAGAUUAGGUAGUUGGUGAGGUAAAGGCUCACCAAGCCUUCGAUCUGUAGCUGGUCUGAGAGGACGACCAGCCACACUGGGACUGAGACACGGCCCAGACUCCUACGGGAGGCAGCAGUGGGGAAUUUUGGACAAUGGGCGCAAGCCUGAUCCAGCCAUGCCGCGUGCAGGAUGAAGGCCUUCGGGUUGUAAACUGCUUUUGUACGGAACGAAACGGCCUUUUCUAAUAAAGAGGGCUAAUGACGGUACCGUAAGAAUAAGCACCGGCUAACUACGUGCCAGCAGCCGCGGUAAUACGUAGGGUGCAAGCGUUAAUCGGAAUUACUGGGCGUAAAGCGUGCGCAGGCGGUGAUGUAAGACAGUUGU